Molecule: ribosomal RNA, 338 nt
Filed under: Candidatus Phytoplasma fraxini
Lineage: Bacteria; Bacillati; Mycoplasmatota; Mollicutes; Acholeplasmatales; Acholeplasmataceae
Description: bacterial SSU rRNA
Rfam family: Bacterial small subunit ribosomal RNA
Source: RNAcentral
UAUGACCUGGGCUACAAACGUGAUACAAUGGCUGUUACAAAGAGUAGCUGAAGCGCGAGUUUUUAGCCAAUCUCAAAAAAGCAGUCUCAGUUCGGAUUGAAGUCUGUAACUCGACUUCAUGAAGUUGGAAUCGCUAGUAAUCGCGAAUCAGCAUGUCGCGGUGAAUACGUUCUCGGGGUUUGUACACACCGCCCGUCAAACCACGAAAGUUAGCAAUACCCGAAAGCAGCAGCUUAACUUCGCAAGAAGAGGGAACUGUCUAAGGUAGGGUUGAUGAUUGGGGUUAAGUCGUAACAAGGUAUCCCUACCGGAAGGUGGGGAUGGAUCACCUCCUUUCU